Molecule: non-coding RNA, 225 nt
Organism: Vicia faba (fava bean)
Lineage: Eukaryota; Viridiplantae; Streptophyta; Magnoliopsida; Fabales; Fabaceae
Source: the annotation of a GenBank genome assembly
AUGGAGAGGAAAACACUCAGUUUCUUGUUCAUGCUCUUCCUUCUCUUAGCUGCUGAUGUUACGGUGAAGACAGCAGAAGCGAGAAGGUGUGUGGCUCAAAGCCAUAGGUUUCAUGGACCGUGCUUGAGGGACAGCAACUGUGCAACGGUGUGCUUGGGAGAAGGUUUCACUGGUGGCGAUUGUCAUGGCUUUCGCCGCCGCUGUUUUUGCACCAGGUUUUGUUAG